This 87-nucleotide unclassified non-coding RNA is filed under the name Pseudomonas palleroniana. The record is from RNAcentral. Lineage: Bacteria; Pseudomonadati; Pseudomonadota; Gammaproteobacteria; Pseudomonadales; Pseudomonadaceae.
GUGGGAGGGGGCUUGCUCCCGAUAGCGGUGCCUCAGUCAGUUUAUCUGAUACUGAUACACCGCUAUCGGGAGCAAGCCCCCUCCCAC